This 121-nucleotide small RNA is filed under the name Marmota monax (woodchuck). Lineage: Eukaryota; Metazoa; Chordata; Mammalia; Rodentia; Sciuridae. The record is from RNAcentral.
GCUAGGUGUGGUGGUGCAUGCCUGUAAUUCCAGUGGCUUGGGAGGCUGAGGCAGGAGGAUUAAAAGUUCAAAGCCUCAGCAACAGCAAGGCCCUAAGCAGCUCAGUGAGACCCUGUCUCUA